AUGCUAGCAGGACUGGGACAGGCGCACCCAUCCAUCGCAUUCCCUCAGUUCUCAGGAGAAAAUCCAAAUAUCUGGAGAACCAUGUGUGAGCAGUACUUUAACAUGUUUGGCAUCCACGAAUCCUUCUGGGUUCCGAUGGCGGCGCUGAAUUUUUCGGGCCCGGCUGCCAUUUGGCUGCAAUCCAUACAAAAAAAACUAGGAUCAUUUACUUGGGAGUCAUUUGCUGCCUUGCUAUGCACUAGAUUUGGGAGGGAUAGACACCAGAACCUGAUCCGUCAGUUCUACACCAUUAAUCAAACUUCCUCAGUAGCGGAUUUUAUUGAGAAAUUUGAGCUUAUUACAAAUCAUUUGAGUUCUUAUUCAGAUUCAAUUCACCCCUACUAUUUCCUUACUCGUUUUGUGGAAGGACUAAGGCCGGACUUGGACACAGCUUGUGCUCUGGCCCUGCUCCAGGAAGAGGUGGCUGACGGAGCAGGCGUGGAGUCGUCGCGGCCGUUCCACUACCAGCCCCGGCCUCCAGAGGUGAACGCGCGUCCUCCCGCGGCGUUGCCACUUCCCCCGCCACCAGGUCGUCCACCACCACAAGCUGGGGCGACCAAUCGGCGUGCCACCGACGCUGCUCGAGCCGAAGCAGCAAAGGUCAAGACUCUGCACGACUACAGAAGAGCACGGGGGCUAUGUUUCAAGUGUGGCGAACGCUGGGGUCAUGACCACACCUGCCCUACAUCAGUCCCAACUCCAUGUAGUUGA
Molecule: ribosomal RNA, 750 nt
Filed under: Triticum aestivum (bread wheat)
Lineage: Eukaryota; Viridiplantae; Streptophyta; Magnoliopsida; Poales; Poaceae
Description: partial small subunit ribosomal RNA
Source: RNAcentral